CCUACGGGGGGCUUCAGUAGGGAAUAUUGCUCAAUGGGGGAAACCCUGAAGCAGCAAAGCCGCGUGGAGGAUGAAGGCUUUCGGAUUGUAAACUCCUUUUGUUAGAGGAGUUAAUGACGGUAUCUAACGAAUAAGCACCGGCUAACUCCGUGCCAGCAGCCGCGGUAAUACGGAGGGUGCAAGCGUUACGCGGAAUUACUGGGCGUAAAGAGCGCGUAGGCGGGAUAGCAAGUCAGAUGUGAAAUCCUAUGGCUUAACCAUAGAACUGCAUUUGAAACUGUUAUUCUAGAGUAUGGGAGAGGUAGGUGGAAUUCUUGGUGUAGGGGUAAAAUCCGUAGAGAUCAAGAGGAAUACUGAUUGCGAAGGCGACCUGCUGGAACAUAACUGACGCUGAGGCGCGAAAGCGUGGGGAGCAAACAGGAUUAGAUACCCUUGUAGUC
This 440-nucleotide ribosomal RNA is filed under the name uncultured bacterium. Its description in RNAcentral is "partial 16S ribosomal RNA". It matches the Rfam family "Bacterial small subunit ribosomal RNA", at positions 338 to 795 of the family's 1533-position model. The record is from RNAcentral.